This 327-nucleotide ribosomal RNA is filed under the name uncultured bacterium. RNAcentral describes it as "bacterial SSU rRNA". It matches the Rfam family "Bacterial small subunit ribosomal RNA", at positions 32 to 337 of the family's 1533-position model. The record is from RNAcentral.
AAUCAACGCUGGCGGCGUGCCUCAGACAUGCAAGUCGAACGCGAAAGGCCCCUUCGGGGGCCCGGUAGAGUGGCGCACGGGUGAGUAACACGUAGGUAAUUUGCCUUCGGGUGGGGAAGUAACAGCCGGAAACGGCUGCUAAUACCGCAUAAUGCAGCGGCUCGACAUCGAGACAGUUGUUAAAGCGGGGGAUCGCAAGACCUCGCGCCUGAAGAGAAGCCUGCGGCAGAUUAGCUUGUUGGUGAGGUAAUGGCUCACCAAGGCGACGAUCUGUAACCGGCCUGAGAGGGCGGUCGGUCACACUGACACUGACAUACGGGUCAGACU